This 497-nucleotide ribosomal RNA is filed under the name uncultured bacterium. RNAcentral describes it as "partial 16S ribosomal RNA". It matches the Rfam family "Bacterial small subunit ribosomal RNA", at positions 28 to 507 of the family's 1533-position model. The record is from RNAcentral.
GAUGAACGCUGGCGGCGUGCCUAAUACAUGCAAGUCGAGCGAACAGACGAGGAGCUUGCUCCUCUGACGUUAGCGGCGGACGGGUGAGUAACACGUGUAUAACCUACCUAUAAGUCUGGGAUCACUUCGGGAAACCGGAGCUAAUACCGGAUAAUAUAUUGAACCGCAUGGUUCAAUAGUGAAAGACGGCUUUUGUGUCACGUAUAGAUGGAUCCGCGCCGCAUUAGCUAGUUGGUAAGGUAACGGCUUACCAAGGCAACGAUGCGUAGCCGAACUGAGAGGGUGGUCGGCCACCCUGGAAGGGUGACACGGUCCAGAGUCCCACGGGAGGCAGCCGUAGGGAAUCUUCAGCCAGGGGCGAAAGCCUGACGGAGAAACGCCGAGUGAGUGAUGAAGGUCUUCGGAUCGUAAAACUCUGUUAUUAGGGAAGAACAAAUGUGUAAGUAACUCGGCACGUCUUGACGGUAACUAAUCAGAAAGGCACGGCUAACUAAGUG